Molecule: ribosomal RNA, 253 nt
Filed under: uncultured bacterium
Lineage: Bacteria
Description: partial 16S ribosomal RNA
Rfam family: Bacterial small subunit ribosomal RNA
Source: RNAcentral
UACAGAGGUCCCAAGCGUUGUUCGGAUUCACUGGGCGUAAAGGGUGCGUAGGUGGUGAGGUAAGUCGGAUGUGAAAGCUCGGAGCUCAACUCCGAAAUGGCAUUGGAAACUACCUUGCUCGAGGGUUGGAGGGGGGACUGGAAUGCUUGGUGUAGCAGUGAAAUGCGUAGAUAUCAAGCGGAACACCAGUGGCGAAGGCGAGUCCCUGGACAACUCCUGACGCUGAGGCGCGAAAGCGUGGGGAGCAAACGGG